UACGUAGGGUGCAGGCGUUAAUCGGAAUUACUGGGCGUAAAGCGUGCGCAGGCGGUUUCUUAAGUCAGAUGUGAAAGCCCCGGGCUUAACCUGGGAACUGCGUUUGAAACUGGGAGACUUGAGUGUGGCAGAGGGGGGUGGAAUUCCACGUGUAGCAGUGAAAUGCGUAGAUAUGUGGAGGAACACCGAUGGCGAAGGCAGCCCCCUGGGUUAACACUGACGCUCAUGCACGAAAGCGUGGGUAGCAAACAGG
RNAcentral lists this ribosomal RNA (253 nucleotides) under uncultured bacterium. RNAcentral's name for it is "partial 16S ribosomal RNA". It matches the Rfam family "Bacterial small subunit ribosomal RNA", at positions 524 to 776 of the family's 1533-position model. The record is from RNAcentral.